UUCACUCAAGAAUGUGCUUGGAGAUCAUAAAAGAUAAACAGCGUUCCUUAUAACAACACCUUAGUCGCCUGUAAUCUGUACACACUGAAGUUGAGUUCACCACCUUGUUGCUGUCACUAAAGCUCCGGCGGGGCUGGCUUGUGGAAGCAGGUUGCCCUUGGCUCCCAUGUCGCCUGGAUCCAACUUCCCCUAACUGAAAACCGCCUCAUAUUCCCCCGGGCCCAUGGCAGCUUCAGAGGACUGAGCCGUAUGCUCUGUGGCGCUGGAGCCUGGGUUUUUCCUCUGUGAAGUGGAGAUGAGAGGGGCCCCCACACCGGCUCGAAGGGAGGCUAAAUGAGAUAAGAGUAGCCCAACACACAUCAGAGAGUUCAUCAGUGCUCGUGGCGUAGACCCGGAGAGGACGCACGCGUGUAAAGUGUCGCAGGAAAGAAGACAGUCUGGCCUUUGGAGACCCCGCUCCGAAUACAAACAGGAACCUCACCAGGCAGAGACCCCUCUGCCGGCUCCAUCGCACACAUCACGUCAGCCAGAGGAAGCCUCUGGCCUGUGAGCUCACAGUAGAUGCAGAAGGCGGCAGCAAAGACGUGCGAGCCCACAUCUGCCUUUAAUAGAGCAAGAAUUCGCACUUCUGCAGCAGCACGAGGGGACCCUGGGGACUGUUGUGGGGAUCAAACGAGAUAAUGUAUGCGAAGGCAUGCUGUGAAUUCUGCGUGCCCAGGGCAGGAGAAUGGAGGCCCCAGAGUGGGUCUAAUGACCCUCUGUCGAUGAAGAUCUUGGCUGUGACUUCUGUGGGAAAUGAGCCAUGGACCAACCGACGUGAGUGAUGAAUGAACGCACUAGAGCUGAUCACCCAUCCUUAACUGAUGAAUGGCUUACCUCUGUGGGUAAGGAGCAUGGAGGCCGAUAUUCAAUAUACCCCAAUCUGAUUUAUUCAUUACCAAUGAUGAAGAUCUCGGCUGUCACUUCUGUGGAUAAAAAGCAAAGGGACUCACAGUGAACACAGGACAGCUGAUUUAAUCAUUUAAUAAAGAAUUGUUAUCGCAAGCAAGGAGCAUAAAGUCUAAUAUAAAAUGAACAACUCUACCAUAUUUGAUUAUUAGCCCAUGGCAAAGAUCUUGAGUUUUACCCUUUGGAUAAAGAGAGAAGAGAUCUGUUGGAUAUAAACUUCUCCAUUGGUAUUGUUAUAGACCAUGAACCCACUGAGGAGGAGAAUAUACAAAAAUGGAAAAUUUUGCAUUUUUCUUAGUUGUGGUAUAAAAUGGAAGUUCAUUGUUCAUCUUUAAAAUAUGGAUGUUAAGUGAAAGAGGUCCAAGCAUGGACGAAUGGCUAAUAUGGAACUGAUAUGAUGCAAGGAAAUGGAUUCACUCCUAUUUUCAAUGCUGGGCUGCAUUGCACAAAGAGAGCUACUUCUCUAGCUCUGUAGGAAGUGAAUGUUCACAGACAUAUUCAUAUCUUCAAGGAUCUUGGUUUUAUUUUCCUAAUUAAUGGACAUUGACUGUAUUAUUAUUAAUGAAUCAAUGAAUAAGUCAAGAACAAUAUAUCAAACAAAGGCACAGAAUACCAAGUCUGGAUCAAUGAUGAGUAUGCGUGGGGCAUCUGAAUAACAUUUUGAUUAAACCCAGUCUGUAACUCUGAGGUCCGUUGCAUCUUUGGGAAAUGUGCUUACGAAGUCAGAAAUAUUCAAGGAUUGUGUUCUUGACCUUUUGUUGUUUAUGAAUAUGGAUUGUAUUAUUGUAAGUAAAUAAAUGUAUGAAUAAAUAAAGUAUAAAUAAAGAGGAGGGCUACACCUUGUCCAAUUAUGAAAGGAGCUUAUGAACCAAAAAUGAUUGUUAAUACAUUUCUGAAAAUUUGAGUUCAAUAAAAUAGACCAAGGCUACUCCUCCUUUGGGAGCAUAGAUAUAUGUGAACAUCAGUGUUGUUCUUGGUUGGUGGUGAGUUUCUGGUUGUAUGUCUUAUUUUAAGAAUAUUUACAUAACUGUACAAUAAUAAUAAUAAAUAUAUUCAAUAGUAAUAUAACAAAUCAUGAUAAACAUAUUAAUAUAACAUAUUUAAUAAGUAGUAGUUUAAUAUAAUCAAUAAUGAAAAAAUAAAAUACAAAUGAUUAGAUAGUUAUUGAAAUAUACAAAAGGUCUAAGCAUGAGAAUAUACUAAUUAUGAAUCCUCUUGUGUUCAUUGAUUUUUAUUUUUAAAAAAGUAAAUGCACGUUGUUGAUGAUUUUUGUGAGUAAUCAUCAAAUGGAUAGAUUUAGUGUCUCUCAGCGCUUUUGUCAAGUGUUCUUAGGCUUCACCAAUAUUAGUGCUAUUAUUAUAAGUGAGUAAAGCAUAAUUUCAUAUCUCAAUCUAUUAUUUAAAAGAGUACAAACUGUGGGCCCGUUGGGAGCAUAUGUAAUAUGUGAAGGAGCAUGAUUAAUCCUGUUUUAUUGCCUAGAAAUCCACUUAAAUAAAAAAGAUCUGAGCCCCUCCAUCUUUAAGGAAGGAUCACAUAGACCCCACUCUCUAAACACAUCUUGCUGUUAACAUUUAAAUUCAAACAGCCAAAAAUAAAAAUUUAGUUCCUUAGUAACACUAGGCACAUUUUAAGCUAUAAGUGGCCAGUGGCUACCAUUUUGGUCAUUGCUGAUAGAGAAAGUUGCAUGUAAUAGUAUUUAGUUUUGAAUAGCAGAUGGCUCUAUCAGUUUGUAUUUCCUUUCAAAAAAAAAAGUCUAGAUAAUUAAAUUAUGCUUAGAA
Long non-coding RNA from Orcinus orca (killer whale), 2726 nucleotides. RefSeq lists it as uncharacterized. The transcript is spliced from 10 exons. The record is from RefSeq and is a predicted model, not a curated record. Lineage: Eukaryota; Metazoa; Chordata; Mammalia; Artiodactyla; Delphinidae.